AUGGCAAAGUCACAACAAGGAUCCUAUUCGAAUCCAGUGAGACUCAUCUCAAUGAGACUCAACGGGACUGUGGUGUGUGUUGGAGUCUGCUGUACUCUCUGUGUCCAGCUUCUGCUGUUCUCUCCUCUCUCCUCUCCUCUCUUCUGGUUUAUCACCUCUGUCAGAAAAAAGCUAAAGAACCUCCAGCUGAUCAGCAAAGACCUCACACAAGACUGAAUCAGGAUGAAGAUGUGUGUUAUGCUGCACUGGAAAUCCGUCCGGCAUCACACAGACCAAAGAAGAAGAAAACCCAGAGUUCUGACUUCAGCACCUAUUCUGCCAUCAAUACUUCUAGGAUGUAGAGAGUCUACAACAAAAGACAUGACUAGAGACUAAGGAUGCUAAUUUUGAAUUUUUUUUUUAACC
Sebastes umbrosus (honeycomb rockfish) is the source of this 405-nucleotide long non-coding RNA. RefSeq lists it as uncharacterized. The transcript is spliced from 4 exons. The record is from RefSeq and is a predicted model, not a curated record. Lineage: Eukaryota; Metazoa; Chordata; Actinopteri; Perciformes; Sebastidae.